AGUCGAGCGAAUCGAUGGGAGCUUGCUCCCUGAGAUUAGCGGCGGACGGGUGAGUAACACGUGGGCAACCUGCCUAUAAGACUGGGAUAACUUCGGGAAACCGGAGCUAAUACCGGAUACGUUCUUUUCUCGCAUGAGAGAAGAUGGAAAGACGGUUUACGCUGUCACUUAUAGAUGGGCCCGCGGCGCAUUAGCUAGUUGGUGAGGUAAUGGCUCACCAAGGCGACGAUGCGUAGCCGACCUGAGAGGGUGAUCGGCCACACUGGGACUGAGACACGGCCCAGACUCCUACGGGAGGCAGCAGUAGGGAAUCUUCCGCAAUGGACGAAAGUCUGACGGAGCAACGCCGCGUGAACGAAGAAGGCCUUCGGGUCGUAAAGUUCUGUUGUUAGGGAAGAACAAGUACCAGAGUAACUGCUGGUACCUUGACGGUACCUAACCAGAAAGCCACGGCUAACUACGUGCCAGCAGCCGCGGUAAUACGUAGGUGGCAAGCGUUGUCCGGAAUUAUUGGGCGUAAAGCGCGCGCAGGUGGUUCCUUAAGUCUGAUGUGAAAGCCCACGGCUCAACCGUGGAGGGUCAUUGGAAACUGGGGAACUUGAGUGCAGAAGAGGAAAGUGGAAUUCCAAGUGUAGCGGUGAAAUGCGUAGAGAUUUGGAGGAACACCAGUGGCGAAGGCGACUUUCUGGUCUGUAACUGA
RNAcentral lists this ribosomal RNA (700 nucleotides) under Bacillus sp. FJAT-4504. RNAcentral describes it as "bacterial SSU rRNA". It matches the Rfam family "Bacterial small subunit ribosomal RNA", at positions 60 to 743 of the family's 1533-position model. Lineage: Bacteria; Bacillati; Bacillota; Bacilli; Caryophanales; Bacillaceae. The record is from RNAcentral.